This 6126-nucleotide long non-coding RNA is filed under the name Xyrichtys novacula (pearly razorfish). The record is from RNAcentral. Lineage: Eukaryota; Metazoa; Chordata; Actinopteri; Labriformes; Labridae.
GGGUGGCGGGUGGUGGUUGGCGAAUGGUCUGGCAGUGGGCGUGUUACCCACAGUGCUCUCUGGCACCAGCCUGUCCCAGAGGAGGAAAAUCAGCCUCUUUUCCUGGAUAGACUCUGAUGCUGUGAGAUGAGGAGGGACAGACCAGGAGGGAGGGAUGGUCAGAGUGGUUCAAAUCAACAUUCGGACAUGUCACCUCAGAGUUCCUCUUAUAGACUGUAUAGAGAAUAGACGAUUAAGAAUAAGAAUGAGAAUAAGAACAGCCCCCAUAGUGAUGGGCUGCAGUAUAGGUCAUAAAUCCCACCUCCUCCAGUAAAAUCGAUGGAGUUGUGGACAAAUUUUAGAAAUUAAUUACGGAAAAUAUACAUUUUUCUCCCCUCUUGUUAUGAUGUUGACAUGUAGUUACUGUAAGACUAGUUUGUGUUAAAGUCCUCUUUUUUCUGUACUGCUCCAUUUUUAAAAAUUUAUUAGGGGGGUUCAUGUUUUCUCUGAUUGACACUUGGUACAGCCUAUGGGUGUAAGAAGGUUGCAUAGGACAUCCAGGGGAUACGCUGUUUGAGCAGAGCAUCAUCACAGCGACUCUCCUGCCGAACGUGACUGCACAAAUGCUGGUUUCAGGAAAUUGAGAAAAUUCAGUGAGCAAUUUGGCUUCAAAUUUGUACAACGUGAGGAGGCGGAGUAAAGUUGUCCAUACUAUAUACAGUCUAUGGUUCUCCGAUAACGAUGGAGAGUCUGAUGGACUGAGGACAGACUUCAUCAGAAUUCUCAGUCAUUACUGUCAGUCUGAGAAAACAUUAAAACUUCUGGUUGAAACGGUGAUGAUGUUAGAGUCGAUGGGAUCAGCUGAUAAAUACUGAAACAGAAACAUUUACUCCUAUCUCCGACUCUCAUAAUUUAAACUCUGAGAGGACAUUAUAGAAAAAGAUGGAUCACAUAUUCACACUCAGCACCUUUACCUGCGCAGUUAAGUGGAGCUGUGGUUAAAGCUCCAUUAGAGGGGAUUUCACUGGACUGGUGUUGCCCAACAAAAAUCAAAUCAGAAGCAUGUCUGCCUCCACUACAGUAGGUGGCAAUAUGCCCUCUCUCAGCUUAUUAUUAUCAGGACGUCUCCAGGAGGCAGUCCGGCAUUCAUGGAUCACUAAAAAACAUUGCAACUUACUGCUCUGUGCUGUUCGUUUGUAUGAACGUUUUGGACAUCAACAGAAUUUAUGUUGGAGCUCUAAAAUAUCUCCACUCUGAACCACUUUUCAAAGGUUUGGCUCUUCAGGCUCACAAAGACCUAAACACCUGCGUGCCUAAGUCACUGCUCGGACCAACUAGCACCAGUCUACGCCGGCAUCUUCACCUCCUCACUCCAGCAAAUGAAGAUCCCAGCCCUCUUCAAAAAAUCCACCAUAAUUCCCAUACCCAAGAAAGGCAAAUCCUCCGACCUCAACGACUACAGACCCGUGGCCCUGACACCCAUAGCCAUGAAGGUCCUGGAACGUAUAGUACUGUCUACAAUUCGCAUAUCGCUCCAACCGGUCAACAGAUGAUGCAGUCAAUCUAGCUCUGCACUUCACCCUCAAGCAUUUGGAGUCAAGAAACUCAUAUGCAAGGAUACUUUUCAUAGAUUUCAGCAGUGCCUUCAACACCAUCAAUCCCCUCAAACUGUUCCACACUCUGAUCAACAUGAACAUUGACCCCUCCCUCUGUUUCUGGCUGCUGGACACACUGAAGGAACGCACCCAAGUUGUCCGCCACAACAACCUCACCUCUCUCCCUCUGACCACAAACAUCGGCGUGCCACAGGGGUGUGUUCUAUCCCCGUGGCUCUUCUCCCUAUACACCAACGACCUCCGAUCAGCCUCCACUUCAGUCAAGCUGCUGAAAUACGCGGACGACACCACCAUCGUGGGGCUGAUCACCAACAACAUGGAGGACGACUACAGGUCAGAGAUUGACAGAACGGUCAACAUAUGCAAAGACCACGAUCUCAUCCUUAACGAAAGCAAGACAGUUGAACUUAUCAUUGACUUCCGGACAAACACCUCCAUCAAGACACCCAUCAUCAUCAAUGACCAAUCCAUUUCUGCUACAGACUCAUUUAAAUUCCUAGGUACACACAUCAACAACAAGCUGAACUGGGAUCAUCACACCACUCACCUCCUCAAAACAGCAAAUCAACGACUUUUCCAUCUCAGACAACUCAGGAAAUACAGAGUCAGGAAGAAUUUACUGGUACAAUUCUACACCGCCAUAAUUCAAAAUAUUCUGUCCUUAUCUAUUACCACAUGGUACGGCAACACACCAAAACACACGUUAAACAGACUGGGCAGGGUGAUAAAAAGGGCCUCCAAAAUCAUUAACUGUGAACUCCCCACACUGGACUCAAUCCACAAACACCACACCAUCACAAGGGCAUACAAAAUAAUUGAUGACCCACCACACCCAGCUCACCAACUUUUCCGGCUCCUCCCCUCGGGUAGAAGGUUUGGAUCUCUGGGUGGUUCAACAAAGCGCUACAAUAACUCCUUCUUCCCCCUUGCCAUACGACUGCUCAACUCGUAUGGUCCACGUGUGUGAAGUCUGUGUUUUAUGUUUUAUGUUAUAUGUCCCAUGUUACCCCGUUUCACAUGUUAUGUCAUGUCAUGUCACUGUAAACUGUUCAAUGUCUGUUUAAUAUCUGGUGUAUUGUCGCAGCUACCACCUGCACUGUGAAAAAUUCCACCGGCCUAGCCGUGUGGCGAUUAAAGAAACUUGAACUUGAACUUGAACUUGAAACCCAGUGGUAGUUCUUCCCUAUUAUCUGGUCUGAACAGGGUCAAAGAGAGCAGUAAUAGAGUCCAGUCUCUUUCCUUAUCUUUGAUGGACACAGUGAGGACUGAAAAUCACCAAAGACAAAGGGCGCUGCCUGUCAUUCACUCCUGUUCAGAUGAGAGUAUGAGUGUGAGACACUCAUAAAAAUGUGUGUGUGUUUGACUUUAUGAUCCUCCUUGUCUGCCUCCCUUAUGAAUCAUGAUCCAGCAUCCUCACAGAUCCAGACUCGGUCCAGUCUGAUCUUCUUAUAACUCCUGUCCUGACAUGCAGAGGCCCAGAGUCAGCUCCAAAACAUGAAUGUAAUGAUAAGAAAACCUCUGAAAACACAAACAAUCACAAAAUCUACUCAUCACAGAAGCUGAGAGCUCAUCUGGACCACAGCUGAGACACACUAAGAGAGAAAACAGAGAGAGGGAGGAGAGACUGACACAGGAUGAAAGGACUGAGAGUAAGGCCCCAACUACACGAAUGCGGAUAUAGUUCAAACCGCACAUAUUUAUGUCCGAUUAGGCCUCCCUACCACACCAAAACGGGAGUUUGGAACACUCAAACCGGAUAAAUCUGAAUCCGAAAAAACAAGUGGAGAAACAAAAAAAUAUCCGUAUAGGUGGAUUCGUGUGGUUGAACAAUUACAUCCACCAGUCAGCCAGUCAGUCUCUUUCUUUGUUUGUUUGUCAUAGCCGCCACACCGUCACAUGGACCCGACGCACUAGCGUAGCUUCCGCAAACAAUGUAUGACGCAUCACGCUGUCAUGAUUCAACGGCCAAUCAGGUAGCUUUGUUCCUGAAUUUUUUUUAAGCGGCACCAGAUAGGAUUGGGUUUGAAGGCUACGUGUGGAUACAGAUAUUUUGGAGAACUAACACGUGUGGACAGAUACAUUUAUUUAGACGGGAGCACAAAAAUAUCCUGAUAAAUAAAUAUCCAUAUACGUGUAGUUCGGGCCUAAGAGAGAGGGAGGAGGAUACAACAGAGCUGAGGAUGAGCCCAGCACAGCUUUUCUCUCCUCUGUCUUAGCUAGAGCAGAAACCACUCUCAUUGAAAACCUUCAAAAUAAAAGCCUCGCUCUCUCUCUUUUAUACCUCUACAGUCAGCUUUGAAGUCACACAUCCAUCUACACGGACUAUGUUGAAUAGUUUGUAUGCCUCCAUCUGCUCUGCAGCUCCAGUAACAUCAUAAUGUUGAUGUAGAAAUUAUUUUUAUUUUCUUUGGUAGAAAUCAUAUGAGUCAGAUAUUCGGAGUUGAACUUUGUUAUAGGACAAAUCUGAGUGUCUUUGUCACGAAUCAUGGAUACCUGAUUGUUAAAAUUUUCCAAAGAUCACAAAGUGAAAAGGUCCAAAACAAAAUGUUCCGUUUUCAGAGACUUCAAAGUCUUGUCUCUUUUCUGAUGUGGUUUAUUUUCAUAUUCGACAAUAAUCCAAUCAUGAAAAUCACUUUAAAACUGUCAGAGGAUGUUUUUCAUCUGCCAAGUUGCUGCUUUUCUGCAGGACUGCUCAGUAGUUCUGCUUCAUUUGAACCCUGUUUCACCGACCCACUGCAGCGUUUGUUUUCCUGCUCUAAGCUGUGUCAUGGGGCUCCGCUGGGCCGUCCUGCUUCAGGAGGAAAUCUUUUAAUUCAGGACCACAAACUCAGUAUUUACUCACUGUAGCGGAUGAUUAGCCUCAUGCUAAUGCCAACUUUUCUUCCCUCUGUUUGGACGCUGUACCUCACUUAUGUUGUGUUUGUACCAGUGUGUGCAUUAAUGGCACAUUAGUUGAAGCAUCAUCCAGAGUUUAAAGUAGCACCCUUAUACAGUCGGCCUGCUUACUGUCAGAUGACUUUAGCUGCACUGUGGUUUCAUUGAGCACCGCUGACCUGGAGAGGUGAAGAGGGUUCAUGUGUAAUUCUUAGAAAUAAAGUUACAGACAGACACAGAGACUGAGGCUGAAACAAUGAGUUAUAAGGAGAUUUGAGGGCAGGAAAAGCUGUUUCCUUCCUCCCUCCAUCACCAUCACCCAGGGCUGAAAUGCUCUCAGCAGACGCAGAGUUUUCAGGAGGAAACACCACCUCAGGGUCCUCAGGGGUCAGCAGGAGCAGGAACGGAGCAGUCCAGCAUUUCCUGACCCAUCAGGGGCCACACCAUCAGGGACACCUGAGGCCAACCCUCAGGCCCUGUGGGACACCUUAGCCAGAAUCAAAGGUCACAGAUUUCCAGUGCCUGUAAGUGGGAGAAUUAGUGGAAGCAAAGCUGAACAAAAGGUUUAUUAUUGAUAUUUAACAUUUCAUCCAAACCGUUGAUCAUUUCUGUAUUUCAGGGUCCCCGAACAGCAGAUUCCAUGUUUCUGAACUCUUUUUCUUCAGUAUACUAACAGUGUAAACAUCGAAGUAUCACUCUGUGAGAGACUGUGUGAAUUAAUAGUCCAACAGUUUCAGAAUAAUGUUCCUGAGUGCAAAAGAAUGAGUGGAUUUCAUCAUCUACAGUUCAUAAUAUCAUUAAAAGAUUCAGAGGAUCUGGAGAAAUCUCUGUACUAAAGGGACAAGGACCAAAACCAGGACUGGAUGGUCCUGAUCUUCAGGCCCUCAGGCAGCGCUACAAUAAAAACAGACAGGACUCUGUGGUUUGACGAUUAAAACCUUGAUAUUCAUUUUAGAAAUCCUGGAUCCUCCUCUUUAAAGAGUAAAAGGUCAGUAUAGCUUGUUCUCAGCUCCCAGCCUACAGCCAUCAUCCCUGAUAGUAUGGGGAUCAACAGAGUCCAUGUCAUGGGUAUCUUCCACAUCUGUGAAGGCUUCAUUAAUGCUGAACAAUAUCUACAGGUUUAGGAGCAUCAUCUGCUGACAUCCAGACAAAGACUUUUCAGGAGGACCUUCAUAUUUCAGCGAGACAAUGACAAACCACAUUCUGACAACAGGGAUUACAACAGCAUGGCUCUGUAGGAGUAGAGUCCAGCUGCUGAGAAACUGGUCUACUGGGUUCACGAAGGUAUACAGAGAGCUGGUGAAAAAAGAGCUGAGGACACAUGAGGAGAUACAUGAACCUGAAACUACGUUUUACAAACGUGUCAACAUUUAAAAUAAGCACAGACGUUUCAUACAACAAUCACAUUUUUCAGUUUCAACAUUUGAUUAUCGUCUUUCACCAUUUUCAGAUAAAUACAAAUUUGCAAACCAUCAAAUAUGAUCAAUAUUUUACACAGCAUCAUGACUUUAGUAAAAUAGUUUUUUCUUUGCAAUUUCAGUCUGUGGGAUAAACCCUUCUCAUUAGAGCAUCAAUAUAAAUGGGUAAUUUAGUGUUUAGGGCCUCUACAUAAUCAUCUAAAGUAAAUCAGUCUUUAGACGUCAUGAUUCUCUUUCAU